AUGAAGUGGCAGUCGUUCAUGUCCACGUUCGUGCUGAACAAGAUGUGUGAGCUCAUCUCUAGUGGAGUUAGGACUGACAAGGGGGUGCACUUGAACAUCGUUGCGAAGCAGGUGUUCGAGUUCUGUGGGCAAGAGGUGUCUACCACCCAGCACAUCUUCUCCUUCGGGCUGGCAACUGGGAAGCAUGCCAUGGGCUCGGGUGAGCCUCUUGGUUCUCCCAUGCUAGACUUCCCCGGGACACCGGACGUCGAGGUCCUUGAUGGCCCUGACAAGCCCGCUGCGAAGCCCUUCGACAAGCCAUUUGACCCCGUCCAUGAUAGGAAGAGGAAGAGAGGAGGCCUGAUGGAGGAGGAGAUCAAUGUCUUUUGCAGCAUGACUGAGGCGGUUAAGGAGGUAGCAACAGCCAUCAGGGAGUGCAAGCCCCUCGACGUCCACCCUGACCUAUAUGGCGAUGUCAUGACCCAGGAUGGCUUCAGCGAUGAGGCUCUCAUGGCAGCUCUUAGCCGCCUGCUUGACAACAAGGCCCAGGGUGUUGGGUUCGUUGCCAUGGCCGACGCUCACAGGGGCAAGUGGUAUGCGGUGUUCAUCGGUGAGGUUUCAGGGGUUUACAGUUCACGGGAAGAAGCCAAUGCACAAGUGGCAUCGUAUAGCAACAGCAAUUAUAGAGGGUUCAAGACUAGGCAGGCAGCAGAACAAGCUUACUCCGCAUGGGUGCGAAAGCUCGGAGGCAGCAGUGUUGACAGUGCCAAGGUUGGAGGUGUCAAAGUGGAAGCUGCUAAGGUGGAUCGU
RNAcentral lists this ribosomal RNA (789 nucleotides) under Triticum aestivum (bread wheat). RNAcentral describes it as "partial small subunit ribosomal RNA". The record is from RNAcentral. Lineage: Eukaryota; Viridiplantae; Streptophyta; Magnoliopsida; Poales; Poaceae.